This 253-nucleotide ribosomal RNA is filed under the name uncultured bacterium. RNAcentral describes it as "partial 16S ribosomal RNA". It matches the Rfam family "Bacterial small subunit ribosomal RNA", at positions 524 to 776 of the family's 1533-position model. The record is from RNAcentral.
UACGUAGGGUGCAAGCGUUGUCCGGAAUUAUUGGGCGUAAAGAGCUCGUAGGCGGCUUGUCGCGUCGGCUGUGAAAACCUGGGGCUCAACCCUGGGCCUGCAGCCGAUACGGGCAGGCUAGAGGUAGGUAGGGGAGAAUGGAAUUCCCGGUGUAGCGGUGAAAUGCGCAGAUAUCGGGAGGAACACCGGUGGCGAAGGCGGUUCUCUGGGCCUUACCUGACGCUGAGGAGCGAAAGCGUGGGGAGCGAACAGG